Molecule: ribosomal RNA, 1281 nt
Filed under: Salmonella enterica subsp. enterica
Lineage: Bacteria; Pseudomonadati; Pseudomonadota; Gammaproteobacteria; Enterobacterales; Enterobacteriaceae
Description: bacterial LSU rRNA
Rfam family: Bacterial large subunit ribosomal RNA
Source: RNAcentral
GGGUUGUGAGGUUAAGCGACUAAGCGUACACGGUGGAUGCCCUGGCAGUCAGAGGCGAUGAAGGGCGUGCUAAUCUGCGAUAAGCGCCGGUAAGGUGAUAUGAACCGUUAUAACCGGCGAUACCCGAAUGGGGAAACCCAGUGUGACUCGUCACACUAUCAUUAACUGAAUCCAUAGGUUAAUGAGGCGAACCGGGGGAACUGAAACAUCUAAGUACCCCGAGGAAAAGAAAUCAACCGAGAUUCCCCCAGUAGCGGCGAGCGAACGGGGAGGAGCCCAGAGCCUGAAUCAGCAUGUGUGUUAGUGGAAGCGUCUGGAAAGGCGCGCGAUACAGGGUGACAGCCCCGUACACAAAAGCGCAUGUGCUGUGAGCUCGAUGAGUAGGGCGGGACACGUGGUAUCCUGUCUGAAUAUGGGGGGACCAUCCUCCAAGGCUAAAUACUCCUGACUGACCGAUAGUGAACCAGUACCGUGAGGGAAAGGCGAAAAGAACCCCGGCGAGGGGAGUGAAAAAGAACCUGAAACCGUGUACGUACAAGCAGUGGGAGCCCCACCACCAAAGCAUUCUCUGGUGUUGAAGGCCCUGCAAAGCAGCAUCGCGGUGGCGGAGCGUCGUUUGCGACGCCCAACACAAAAAACAAGCGGUGAGUGCUUUGGGGUGGGGUGACUGCGUACCUUUUGUAUAAUGGGUCAGCGACUUAUAUUCUGUAGCAAGGUUAACCGAAUAGGGGAGCCGUAGGGAAACCGAGUCUUAACUGGGCGUUAAGUUGCAGGGUAUAGACCCGAAACCCGGUGAUCUAGCCAUGGGCAGGUUGAAGGUUGGGUAACACUAACUGGAGGACCGAACCGACUAAUGUUGAAAAAUUAGCGGAUGACCUGUGGCUGGGGGUGAAAGGCCAAUCAAACCGGGAGAUAGCUGGUUCUCCCCGAAAGCUAUUUAGGUAGCGCCUCGUGAAUUCAUCUCCGGGGGUAGAGCACUGUUUCGGCUAGGGGGCCAUCCCGGCUUACCAACCCGAUGCAAACUGCGAAUACCGGAGAAUGUUAUCACGGGAGACACACGGCGGGUGCUAACGUCCGUCGUGAAGAGGGAAACAACCCAGACCGCCAGCUAAGGUCCCAAAGUCAUGGUUAAGUGGGAAACGAUGUGGGAAGGCCCAGACAGCCAGGAUGUUGGCUUAGAAGCAGCCAUCAUUUAAAGAAAGCGUAAUAGCUCACUGGUCGAGUCGGCCUGCGCGGAAGAUGUAACGGGGCUAAACCAUGCACCGAAGCUGCGGCAGCGAC